RNAcentral lists this ribosomal RNA (221 nucleotides) under uncultured Aspergillus. RNAcentral's name for it is "partial 28S ribosomal RNA". It matches the Rfam family "Eukaryotic large subunit ribosomal RNA", at positions 359 to 587 of the family's 3401-position model. The record is from RNAcentral. Lineage: Eukaryota; Fungi; Ascomycota; Eurotiomycetes; Eurotiales; Aspergillaceae.
GAAAGAUGAAAAGCACUUUGAAAAGAGAGUUAAAAAGCACGUGAAAUUGUUGAAAGGGAAGCGCUUGCGACCAGACUCGCUCGCGGGGUUCAGCCGGCAUUCGUGCCGGUGUACUUCCCCGCGAGCGGGCCAACGUCGGUUUGGGCGGUCAGGUCAAAGGCCCCUGGAAGGUAACGCCCCCUCGGGGGCGUCUUAUAGCCAGGGGUGCAAUGUGGCCUGCC